GUAUAGGUGAUUACUAUGUAUCUAGUAUUGAUCGGUAUGCACAUAUAUAUAUAUGUUCCGUUUGGUCCAGAGACCUCCUCCUUUUUGUUUCGUCAGCCGAGAUGUACAGACGUACUGAAAGUUCGUGUAAAGUUUGCAAGUGUUACUUUAUUAUAAAUAGAAUUAUAUAACAUUUAUUCUUCAAUAUAAGGAAUUGAGAAAGCGGUUCUCUCGCUAUUAAAUGAGGAUGACUGACGACCAGCUGCUGCAACACAUUCAAAGCAUGAAAAAGUUCUACAUAAACUUUGCACUUUUCAAUCGGCUAUUUGCUGGGAAAGUAAGAAGCAGUCAAACGUCGCGAUGUCGACUUCAGAAGCACAGUAUGUGGCUAUUUCCGAAGCCUGUAAAGAAGCUAAUUUUCUAAAGUGGUUUUUGAGCGAACUAAGAUCUAAGAUGAAUGUGUGAGUUUGUACAACCGAACGAAAUACAUUGACAUAAAAUAUCAUUUUGUUCGCGAAGCUGUUGUUGCGAUUGUUACAUUGAAAUGACAAGCACUGUUACAAGUAGUUCUACCAUCACUUCUGCCGUCUCUAACAAUUUUCAUAAUUUGAGAACGAUAUCGAGAAGAAAUGAUGUACACGAUUCAUCAUCCCCAGAAAACAUUUCACUUUAUUUGCCAUCUUCAUCUAAUCUCGCUUUACAUGACAAACCGGUCCCAAAUCGAAUCUGAACAUGAAUUAUGUGCAAAACAACAAGAACCUCGCUCACGCGAAGAAAUUGCACUCGAGAUAAAAAUCGUACAAAUAAUCUUAUUAUCGUGAAAAUAGUAGGAUUUUCGAAAAGCAGAUUGUAGGCGAUGAAAUUGUAACAGUGCCAACUAUCGUUAUUCGACGCGUAAGAACAAAUAAUGCAUUGCACUACGAGUAGGUAGUCGUUAUAACUUAUCGUAUUUGUGGUUUGAGAGUGAACGUACGAGCAAAAUUAAGUGAAUAAAGAAAGAACGAAAAAUGAGCUUCAAUAGACAGAUGUGGAUAUAAUAAAGUUUUAAACAUUUUUAGUUUCAAAAUUAGCACUGAAUAAUUAAUACAAUGUAAAUGCCUGUAAAUCAAUUCCCAUGUCACCACUGAGUUGAUAUACGAGAGUGUGAUAAUUGGAUCUAUACAAUUUAAAUACGUUCAAAACUACUGAACUUACGUAUACAUAUACAUCUAUACUUAUGUCCAACAUGUAAAUGCAUAUACAUGUAUGUAAAUUCGAUCAUAUCGUGGAAUUUUUAUUCUCGAUUGCAUAGUUGUUUGUUCACUUAUUCUUAGCCACAACCACACAUUCGUUUUUCUUACAUUAUAAAUCAUCAAAUCAAGAAGUUGGGUAAAUUGAAACGGAAAUAUGACAAAAUGUAUCGUGCUACGAAUCAGUUAAAUAUGAAAAUAUUUUAGAAUAAAUCCGCAAAAUUUUUUUAUAUUCUACAUAGUUGUAACUAAAACAACACAAAUGUUUACUAAAAAAUCAUCAUUCGUUUAAUGAAAAAUCAAACUCGCGUAUUAUGCUAAGACUGAGCAAUUAAUAUUAAAUAAGGUACGGAUUAUCAUGUAUUUUUAAAAAAUUCUAAAAUACAAAUUUGCAAGAAAUGCACAUUAUAUAAAAUAAUGUAAAAAGUGUUCAAAGCACAGUUGUAAAUAGUUGCUACGAAAAACAAUUUUCUAUUUGUGCUUUUAUUUCUUUAGUUAUGUUCUGAAAAACGUGAAUUUGCAUAAAAAUUUUCAGUUUCUUUAAGGCACGUGUAAGUCUAAGGUAAUAGAUUUUUAAAAACAUGUAUGAAAAAAAUUAUGAAACUAGUGCGACAUAAUCUUAUACAUAAUUUAUAUAUUCAUGAGUAUUAAAAAUAAACCUUAAAAAUAAUUUUGUUGAAAAGCCAUAUACUAAAAGUUAGAUUGCACUUAUUCUCGACAAUAGUGGUGAAAAUCUCUAGUUGGAAAUACAUUUAGCUACAUUAUUACGAUAGUGUUGUAAGCAGUUCGCAUAUAUUGAUAUUUCCGAAAUUUGAUUUUGGAGAAUAAAAAGAAGUCACACAAAUUUUGAGAUUUGGCGAAUAUAGAAACCAUAUAAUAAUAGAAAUACUCUGUUUGAAUAAAAAAGGAAUUGUAGUGUAAUAUAGAACGUUGUUAUAACAUAACAUUCAAAAAUUUGCACUGUCUCGAUCACCAUUCGUUCCUUUUUUUAAUUUCUCAAAGAUUUUAUGAUGGCAUCAUAUUUAGUAUAUUCAAGAUAAUAUAUUAUAGUAUUUCUUUAUCAUAAGUAUGGUUGUCGACGAGAAGAUAGACAAUAGAUACUUGGUAAACUAUUCAGGAGUUCUUCCAUUAUUUCAUAUCUUUUUAGUAGCAUCGUACUUGGAAUGAAUGAUUCUGUCGUCUGUUAGACUCUGUCCUCAGCAGUACUUUUUAAGAUUCUUGACAUACAGACAUGAUAAUCCUUUAGCGUAUAGUGAUUACGAUUAAUUGGCACAAUCAUGUACAUAUUCGAUACUAAUUCUUCAGAGUUAUGUAGGAUUAAUAAACUUGCACUGCUGCAUGACGUUAUAAAUAAUGGAAUCAACAAACUUCGUUUAUUGAAACUGAUUAAUUUCAAUGUGUUCCUUCACAUCAGACACGUUUUCUUAUUUCAUGUGCUUCGAUUCGUUGACACAGAUAUGACACAGAAGAUACGGUUGACAGGAAUAUACGAUACAGCAAAUAAAUAUUCGACUUGACUGACUUUUUCUUCGACUCGCAGCUGCAGUGUAAAAAGAAUUGCAUUUGAUACAGAAUGGAAUAUGCUCUUGAUAGUAAGUCAUAUAUACACCUCUCUACAUUCCACUUAUCUUGUACUAUUUCAUAACGGUACACCAAUCUUGAUUUUGUUGUAAAAAUAAAUAUCACUUAUAUUUUUCAAAAUUAUCUUGUAUUAUUGUAGGACAAUCUUGAAUUUAUCGUACAAGAAUAAAUAUUACUGAAAUUAUUUUGCUGCAUGACAAUCUUGACUUUAUUCUAAGAGAAAAUGUUCGUCCCAUGCAUCUUUUACAAUAGUAUGCAUUAUUUUAAUUUUGAACAAUCUUGAAUAAUCUUGGAACUUGAAGAACAAGUGUUAUCUGUGUCAAUGUAGUGAGAUUUUGCCCGAUAAUAAAUGAAAUUCAAUUCAAUAAAGAAUACUAUUGAUUUCACAUUUGUUCGUUUUUGUCUUCUGUAACGAAGUGUGCCUGUCUGCCACUUCAAUCUUAGCUUGAUUUGAUAAACCACGGUUUAUCACUUGGAUAUGUCUCGCAGGAAAUUUUCAUCAUUUUCGAUUCGUCGAGGAAGAUAUAAGCACAAGUCUCUUCUUUUCCUCUUCUAUUAGUUUGUGAACUUUUCAAAACCAAAUUCGCUAUUUGCUUGGUCGCACUACUAGAACAAGUUUUAGGGAUGCUUUUCCUCCAAUUACAUUUCAUACCACUUAUAAACUGUGGAAACUUUUGAAAUAUUCGCAUAUAGCAAUUGCUUGCUGUCCACUGACAAUCUGAAAUUAUUUCAGAUAGUAAUGAGUAGAAUGUACCACACGAUGCAAGUGUUUCAUGCUAGCAAAAUUUUCUUAACUAUUUUCUAAAUAUAGCUGCAACGUAAUGCAUUUCAUUCGUAAACAUAAAUUUAUGUUAUUUCUUUGUAUCAUUUAGAAUACUCUUCUUCCUUCUGUCUACGUCAUACAUGAUCUAGACGUAAUUAUGGAUUUAUCACUAUCUUUUUCCAAGCGAUUGUCGUUGCUAAGAACGUCGUUAGCUUUCUUGUGAGAAGUUACAGAACGCGUUGAAUAAUGAAAGAAGCUCUUUUUACUGGUUUUAAAUUAAUGUUCUAAAUGUGCUAAUAUAAUUAAGAUACUAUGUCUUGACAUAGCACUCACCUGUACAAAAACUAACAUUUUUACAUGCUUUUCACGUCAGUUUUUGUUCGUCUUUAAUAUAACUUUUUGUCUUUUUGCAAAUUGUAUUGCUCGUUUGUACUUUGAUACAUCUGGAAGCAUGGAGUUGUGAAGAAGCAGUUCUUGUGCUAACUCAAAAUGUUAAUUGAGCAGUACUGCAGCAAUAGAUAAUCAAACUAUUCAACUCUAUACGUAAAUUGUGUGCGUCAAUGCAAUUGUAGGUUAGUGGAAUUAUUAUUUACUUUGUCUUGACGUUAUUUAGAUCAACGUACUAAACAUAAACAAAUAAUUUCGUUAUAUCUAUUGUCAUAGAGACAUGAGAAGUUUCGUAUCUUAACGAGAUACAUAGAAUUUAAAGUCAAAAGAUUAAUAUGUCUGAAUGCCAUGUGAUACACUUCCAGCGUGUAAAUAAUAAUUUUAUAACUUAACUAUACCCUAGAUGAUUUCCAAUUAUCUACUGUUGAUAGUGUUCCUGAUAUUUAUUUCUAUCAUAACAACAAUGUAUUGCAACUAUAUCGUUGAUAUCUAUUUCUCGCCAAAUCUCUUUCUUAACUAUCAUAUUCGUCUCAUUACAGCAAAAUUUCAUAAAAUAUCAUUUUAAAGAUAUGUAAAUUAUCGUGUAACUUAUUUUUCUCUUCUCAAUUGAUAAUAAUUCACUCAUUAUAAUAUACUCGUCAACAUGACAGAAAGCAUAAUCGAUUUAUGUUAAGUAUAUAAGUUUUUCUACUGCUACUUGUCCGUAGGACUUACUUUUUGGUCAAAAAAGACGCAUGAUAUUUGACUUUCUUCGUUCAGAUAUUAUACAUAUCGUACGCUUCAUGAAUUAUGUACUUGUGUCAAUUUACCUUUGCAUCAAUUUAAACUGUUAAUCUACUAACUCUUUUAAUACUCUAUUACAGAAGAUCUAUUCCUACAAAUUUGUGCCGAUUUUUAUACGAUUUCAUAUUUCUGAGAAUAAGAUUGAAA
Frieseomelitta varia is the source of this 4869-nucleotide long non-coding RNA. RefSeq lists it as uncharacterized. Lineage: Eukaryota; Metazoa; Arthropoda; Insecta; Hymenoptera; Apidae. The transcript is spliced from 2 exons. The record is from RefSeq and is a predicted model, not a curated record.